RNAcentral lists this non-coding RNA (200 nucleotides) under Methylorubrum extorquens DM4. Lineage: Bacteria; Pseudomonadati; Pseudomonadota; Alphaproteobacteria; Hyphomicrobiales; Methylobacteriaceae. The record is from RNAcentral.
UGCGAGCGUCCGGGUGACGGUUCCCUUCGGGGAUCAAAAGGGAACGCAGUGAGGGUCUUAUGCCCGAUGCUGCGGCUGCCCCCGCAACUGUAAGCGGCGAGCCUUCCGCCACCAUGUCACUGGAUGGGCCUCAUCCGGGAAGACGGUGAGAGGGCAGCGACCCGCGAGCCAGGAGACCUGCCGUCAGUCGUGGUCACACG